Molecule: transfer RNA, 497 nt
Filed under: Moraxella catarrhalis
Lineage: Bacteria; Pseudomonadati; Pseudomonadota; Gammaproteobacteria; Moraxellales; Moraxellaceae
Rfam family: tRNA (bases 144-216)
Source: RNAcentral
ACGAAGUUAUCUGAUUGGCAAGAAUCCACAACAAGUUGUUCUUUGGUAAGAUGUUUAAAAACGGGUCUAUAGCUCAGUUGGUUAGAGCACCGUGUUGAUAACGCGGGGGUCAUAAGUUCAAGUCUUAUUAGACCCACCAUUUUGGGGCCAUAGCUCAGUUGGUAGAGCGCCUGCCUUGCACGCAGGAGGUCAGGAGUUCGACUCUCCUUGGCUCCACCAAGCAAGUUUAAACAUCAAAGCAUACAUAAGCAAUUUAAAUAAGAUUUCUUAUUUAUGCUUUUAUUUUAUAAACUGACGAAGUUUAUAACAUUAUUUAACAACAUAGUAUGAGUCUGGGUUAAUUAUUUAAUUCCAACAAAUAAUUAACCUGGUGUUUGUACCCAAUACAAACACCAAAAAGUAAAGAGAACUGAAUCAAGCGUAAACAUAGGUGAAUCGUUACACAUUACCCAUACACACCAAAGACUUCCUAGAAGUCAGACUACUUGGGGUUGUAU